Molecule: long non-coding RNA, 2666 nt
Filed under: Marmota monax (woodchuck)
Lineage: Eukaryota; Metazoa; Chordata; Mammalia; Rodentia; Sciuridae
Source: RNAcentral
UAAUAAUAAAAAAAACCCCUCUCUCUCUCUCUCUAUCUCUCUCUCUCCCUCUCUCUCUCUCUCCCUCUCUCUCUUUAAAAAAAAUUUAAAAAAAGAAUUAAAAAAAAAAGAAAUGUGAUUUUCCAGUGGCAGAGGGAAGCUUUGAGCCCUGAAGAAGACAGAGGUAAAGGGGCAUUAGUAACAGAAGUCCCCUUGGUGGUCAGGAAUCCGCCAUCCUUCCACGUAGCAGAGUGGAGAGAAGUAGGUGGAAAGUAGAGUCAGUGUAGACGUUGGGGGAGGCCCCCUUUGCCACAGUGAAGGCUCUGAUGAGGGCACCAGGUCAGCCUGCUGAGUGGAUGUGUUACUGGGGAGGGGAGCGGCUUCCACAGCCGAGGGUAGAGAGACGGUAGCAGACCCUGCCUGACGACGCCCUCCUGAAGGAAGGAGAGGCCAUCUGUGGACCCUGUGCAUGUGGCCUGGAGCAGGGCCUCCUGUAUGUGGGAGGGGUGUGGAAGGAGCUGCCCCAGAGUCUCAGUGCAUGAGUGGGUGAGAGGAGGAGGGGGGAAGAGUCCUGAGGAGCAGGAGGAGGGUAGCAGGGUUUAAAGGUGAGCAGGUGUGGACAGUGAGACUGGAUCUCCCACCAGGGAAACCUGUAGAGAUCAAAGGUGACAGGAGUAAGGAGUGUAAGCCCUGGUAGGUGAGGAGAUCCUUUAGGUGACGGGGAGCCAGGAUGGUGAGUGGGGCCCCAAGGUGGGUUUCUUUAUGAGUAGAGAGGCUGCGGCCAACAUCUGUAGGCAAAGGGUCCAUCCCUCAUCAGUAGGGUCAAGACCCUUGGAUAGAUAGGCCUCAGGAGCAAAGGUUGGCCCCAGCAUGUGUCCGAGGACCCCUAGAGCAAAUCCCUGCUUUUCAGGCACCUGAAGGUGAGGUGGGCGUGUGAGCUCAGGGAGAUGGAGAGAGGGGCUGGAGGAGGCCUGCUGGAGCCUGGUGAGGGGCUCUGUAACGGAGGCAAUAGGGGUUCAGAGAGGGGGUCCUGGGCCAUCAUAUAGAGGUUAGCCAAUAUGGAGUAGUUAGGAAUCCAGGAUCUGAGGAAUCCCGCCACACCCAGAAAGGAGAGAAUGUCUUCCUCAGUAGAGGGGUUGGUAUGUUAGUGAUGAGGGCCUUUCUGUCAACCGACAUGGCUGUGUGUAGGGUCAGGAGGAGGCCUAGGUCUGUCACCAUGGCCAAGGAGAGCUGUACCUGGGAUGGAGAAGCCCUAUAGCCACGGGCAGAAAGGAAGUGGAGAAGUUCACAGGUGUCCUGAUGGCUGACCUCAAGGGGGGACUGCAAAGAAGGUCAUCAACAUGCUGUGGCACCACAGGCUGAGUGAGAUGUGUGGAUGCUAGGUCCUUAGCCAAGGCCUGUCUGAAGGUAUGAGGGCUGUCUCGGAACCCUUGGGGGAAACUGUCCCCAUCAGCUGACUCAGGGUCUGUCCAUGGGAAGGCGAAAGUGUCCUGAGAGUGAGAAUGGAGGGGAUAGAGAAGAAGGCAUCUGUCAGGUCUAGCACUGAGCUCUAAGAGGUCCCGGAAGGAGUGGAGGAGAGAAGGGUACAAGGAUCCGUUACCACGGGAUGGAUUGGGACCACGCAGAGUUCACAGAAAGGAGCUCUUGGACCAAGUUAGGCCUUUCACUGCCAAGAUGGGGGUGUCAUAAGGGGAAUGAGGAGGUCUGAGGAAGCCCUUUUGCACGAGGUCUUGAAUGAUAGGUGUAAGCCCAGGAGUUUUUGUCAGGGGAGCGGGUGUUGUGAUUGGGCCAGAACAUGGAGGGGGCCUUUGAGACAGAUGUGAAUGGGCUUGUGGCAUGAGGCGAUAGAAGGACUUGAAACAUCCCGGACAGUAGGGUCCACCUCAGAAGUGGGUAAUGGGAGGCCCUGGCAGAUGAAACAGGGGAAGGUCCUAAGUUCAGGGUGAGGAUCAGGGGAGCGGCUGCGAGUUUGGAUGGAAGCGUAUAUGAGGGGAGAAGGAAAGCGUAGCCCCCAACUGUGUGAGGAUGGCCCUUUCCAUAAGGGGAAGAGGACACUGUGGAAUGACCAAAAAGGAGUGGGUAAAAACUAGAGAGCCCAAGGCACAAACACGGCCGGGUGUCUGUAGGGUUGGCCAGGUUUACCCUCUACCCUGGCAGUCGAGGUCACAGAAGGAGUGGUAGGCCCUCACAACCCCUUGAGGACUGAAUGUGUAGCCAGGUGUCUAGGAGGAAGGACACAGGUCCACCUGAAAUAUGCAGUUACCCUGGGUUCCCGCAGAGUGAUGCUAGUGGUCAGGUGAUGGGGAGCUGGGCCUCGUCCGUCCUCUGCAGCCAGUCCUAAGAGUUGGAAAGGGGAACCAGAAGAGCUGGCUGACUGGGGCCUGCUAUGGGCUCGGGGACAGUCAACAGCCCAGUGUCCCUUCUGAUGGCAUUUAGGACAAGGGCCUGGAGGCUUGUAAGGCUUAGGACAUGGACGAGCCCAGUGACCCAUCUGACCACAUAUAAAACAGGGUCUGGUGGGUGCAGAGAAGACAUUCGGCAGAAUGGAGGCCCUGGUCCCAGGAUGGAAUCCAGAUUGGGGCUCGGGGAUAUUCAGUGACUGUGAGGAUGGCCUUAGGCCUGAGCCUAAGCAACUCCAUUUUAAAAAACCUGCAGAGACCCUCCCGUGGGCCAGUGCAACCAGGGAC